Molecule: microRNA precursor, 157 nt
Filed under: Pelobates cultripes (western spadefoot toad)
Lineage: Eukaryota; Metazoa; Chordata; Amphibia; Anura; Pelobatidae
Source: RNAcentral
ACCGGCACUCUAGGAGUUUCCAAUCUUAAAUUUUCUUUUAUUCCAAAAACGACGUCAACGUUUUAGCUCUGAUGAAAGCUCCACGGGGAGCUGAAACGUUAACGUCAUUUUUGGAAUAAAAGAAAAUUUAAGAUUGGAAACUCCUAGAGUGCCGGUA